RNAcentral lists this ribosomal RNA (468 nucleotides) under uncultured bacterium. Its description in RNAcentral is "partial 16S ribosomal RNA". It matches the Rfam family "Bacterial small subunit ribosomal RNA", at positions 28 to 507 of the family's 1533-position model. The record is from RNAcentral.
GACGAACGCUGGCGGCGUGCUUAACACAUGCAAGUCGAACGGAAAGGCCCUGCUUUUUUGUGGUUCUCGAGUGGCGAACGGGUGAGUAACACGUGAGUAACCUGCCCUUUACUUUGGGAUAACUUCAGGAAACUGGUGCUAAUACCGGAUAGGAGCUCCUGCUGCAUGGUGGGGGUUGGAAAGUUUCGGCGGUUGUGGAUGGACUCGCGGCUUAUUAGCUUGUUGGUGGAGUAGUGGCUUACCAAGGCUUUGAAGGGUAGCCGGCCUGAGAGGGUGAACGCCGACAUGGGGACUGAGAGACGGAGCAGACGCGUACGGGAGGCAGUAGUGGGGAAUAUGGUACAAUGAGGGGGAGCGUGAGGAAGAAACGCUGCGAGUGUGAUGAAGGCCUUGGGGGUGUGAACCGCUGUAGGCUGUGACGAAGCGGGAGUGACGGUAAUAGGUAAAGAAGCACCGGCUAACUACGUG